GGAGGAUGCGAGCGUUAUCCGGAUUUAUUGGGUUUAAAGGGAGCGCAGACGGGAGAUUAAGUCAGUUGUGAAAGUUUGCGGCUCAACCGUAAAAUUGCAGUUGAUACUGGUUUCCUUGAGUGCAGUUGAGGCAGGCGGAAUUCGUGGUGUAGCGGUGAAAUGCUUAGAUAUCACGAAGAACUCCGAUUGCGAAGGCAGCUCACUGGAGCGCAACUGACGCUGAAGCUCGANAGUGCGGGUAUCGAACAGGAUUAGAUACCCUGGUAGUCCGCACGGUAAACGAUGGAUGCCCGCUGUUGGUCUGAAUAGGUCAGCGGCCAAGCGAAAGCAUUAAGCAUCCCACCUGGGGAGU
This 352-nucleotide ribosomal RNA is filed under the name uncultured bacterium. RNAcentral describes it as "bacterial SSU rRNA". It matches the Rfam family "Bacterial small subunit ribosomal RNA", at positions 527 to 881 of the family's 1533-position model. The record is from RNAcentral.